GAUGAACGCUGGCGGCGUGCCUAAUACAUGCAAGUCGAGCGAACAGACGAGGAGCUUGCUCCUCUGACGUUAGCGGCGGACGGGUGAGUAACACGUGGAUAACCUACCUAUAAGGCUGGGAUAACUUCGGGAAACCGGAGCUAAUACCGGAUAAUAUAUUGAACCGCAUGGUUCAAUAGUGAAAGACGGUUUUGCUGUCACUUAUAGAUGGAUCCGCGCCGCAUUAGCUAGUUGGUAAGGUAACGGCUUACCAAGGCAACGAUGCGUAGCCAACCUGAGAGGGUGAUCGGCCACACUGGAACUGAGACACGGUCCAGACUCCUACGGGAGGCAGCAGUAGGGAAUCUUCCGCAAUGGGCGAAAGCCUGACGGAGCAACGCCGCGUGAGUGAUGAAGGUCUUCGGAUCGUAAAACUCUGUUAUUAGGGAAGAACAAAUGUGUAAGUAACUAUGCACGUCUUGACGGUACCUAAUCAGAAAGCCACGGCUAACUACGUG
Molecule: ribosomal RNA, 497 nt
Filed under: uncultured bacterium
Lineage: Bacteria
Description: partial 16S ribosomal RNA
Rfam family: Bacterial small subunit ribosomal RNA
Source: RNAcentral